RNAcentral lists this ribosomal RNA (310 nucleotides) under uncultured soil bacterium. Its description in RNAcentral is "bacterial SSU rRNA". It matches the Rfam family "Bacterial small subunit ribosomal RNA", at positions 1082 to 1397 of the family's 1533-position model. The record is from RNAcentral.
AAGUCCCGUAACGAGCGCAACCCUUGUCCCUAGUUGCUACGCAAGGGCACUCUAGGGAGACUGCCGGUGACAAACCGGAGGAAGGUGGGAUGACGUCAAGUCCUCAUGGCCCUUAUGGGUAGGGCUUCACACGUCAUACAAUGGCCGGUACAGAGGGUUGCCAAGGCGCGAGCCGGAGCCAAUCCCCGUAAAAGCCGGUCGUAGUCCGGAUUGCAGUCUGCAACUCGACUGCAUGAAGUCGGAAUCGCUAGUAAUCGCGGAUCAGCAUGUCGCGGUGAAUACGUUCCCGGGUCUUGUACACACCGCCCGU